MicroRNA precursor from Chinchilla lanigera (long-tailed chinchilla), 65 nucleotides. The record is from Ensembl. NCBI's taxonomy places the organism in Eukaryota, Metazoa, Chordata, Mammalia, Rodentia, Chinchillidae.
GAAGAUAGGUUAUCCGUGUUGCCUUCGUUGUAUUUGUGUCGAAUCAUACGCGGUUGACCUAUUUU